GAAUAAUCGGUUCAGUUUGAAACAACUAAUAGUUUGGUUGUUUUUUAAACUAUGAUUUUGGUUGUUUUCAAAUGUAUAUUCCUAAAUUCAAACAUUUUUGUUUGUUUGUGAUUAAGCUCUUUGUUGGGUUGAUUCUGCUUGAAAAAAUAUAUCAAUUCAACAUUGAUUAUGGUUGUUCGAAAUUGUAUUUCUUGUUGAAUCAACCUAAAGUCUAGUUUAUUUCAAAAAUAUAUACAUUUAUAAGUUGUUGGUUUGACAGCUUGAUGACAACAUAAAAUAUUAGGUUAAUUUAAAGUGAACAGAAAGUUGAUGCUAAACUUUAUUUAUGUUUACCAAAAAAACAAACCACAUCUAUGUUUGAUACAACCUAAAAUUUUAGUUUAUUCAAUUAUUGUCAGUUACUUUUUCUCUUGGCUGCUGGUGUGAAAAGAAAACUACUUCAACCACGACAGAACCAAAGUUGGGACAAACUGUUUUUUUCCACUGUUUUCUUCCGGAUCAACUAAAAUUAAAGGUACAGCAUGAUAUUUCCUUCGUCCAAUUGUUGUCCAUAGUCGUCACCCCUUCUGGGCUAUUAAAAAAAAAAAAAUUCUGACUGUUUGAUAGAUAUGGAACGAAAAUAUCAAAAUAAUAAUAACGUGUUUUCAAAGAAUAAAAUAUGUAUGUUGUAUACAAAUGGC
Armigeres subalbatus is the source of this 680-nucleotide long non-coding RNA. RefSeq lists it as uncharacterized. Lineage: Eukaryota; Metazoa; Arthropoda; Insecta; Diptera; Culicidae. The transcript has 3 exons. The record is from RefSeq and is a predicted model, not a curated record.